AGCGGCGCACGGGUGAGUAACACGUGGGUAAUCUGCCCUUAGGACUGGGAUAACCCGGGGAAACUCGGGCUAAUACCAGAUAAGACCACGCGACGAGAGUCGUGCGGUUAAAGCGGAGGACUUCUUCGGAAGCUUCGUACCUUUGGAUGAGCCCGCGGCCCAUCAGCUAGUUGGCGGGGUAAUGGCCCACCAAGGCUAAGACGGGUAGCUGGUCUGAGAGGAUGAUCAGCCACACUGGAACUGAGACACGGUCCAGACUCCUACGGGAGGCAGCAGUGGGGAAUCUUGCGCAAUGGGCGAAAGCCUGACGCAGCAACGCCGCGUGAGUGAUGAAGGUCUUCGGAUCGUAAAGCUCUGUCGGAGGGAACGAUGCCGGGGUUGGCUAACAUCCAACAACGGUGACGGUACUCUCAAAGGAAGCACCGGCUAACUCUGUGCCAGCAGCCGCGGUAAGACAGAGGGUGCAAGCGUUGUUCGGAAUUAUUGGGCGUAAAGGGCGCGUAGGCGGCUUCAUAAGUCAGAUGUGAAAGCCCGGGGCUUAACCCCGGAAGUGCGUCUGAUACUGUG
This 567-nucleotide ribosomal RNA is filed under the name uncultured bacterium. RNAcentral's name for it is "bacterial SSU rRNA". It matches the Rfam family "Bacterial small subunit ribosomal RNA", at positions 94 to 637 of the family's 1533-position model. The record is from RNAcentral.